Molecule: ribosomal RNA, 253 nt
Filed under: uncultured bacterium
Lineage: Bacteria
Description: partial 16S ribosomal RNA
Rfam family: Bacterial small subunit ribosomal RNA
Source: RNAcentral
UACGGAGGAUCCGAGCGUUAUCCGGAUUUAUUGGGUUUAAAGGGUGCGUAGGCGGUUUGAUAAGUUAGAGGUGAAAUGUCGGGGCUCAACCCCGAAACUGCCUCUAAUACUGUUGGACUAGAGAAUAGUUGCGGUAGGCGGAAUGUAUGGUGUAGCGGUGAAAUGCUUAGAGAUCAUACAGAACACCGAUUGCGAAGGCAGCUUACCAAACUAUGUCUGACGUUGAGGCACGAAAGCGUGGGUAUCGAACAGG